UCGUACAGCCGGGGCGGUAGCGGUGCCCUGUACUUGCAAUCCGCUAUAGCAAGGGUUAUGUCUUUUACGAGGGUUAUCUUUGUACGGUUUUGCGCUCUGUGAUGGGUGUUGAUGGCAAGGUCUUACGCAAUACAAGGUUGUGAACCAGGUCAGGUGGGGAACCAAGCAGCCUUAAGCAAUUUUUUUGUAUGUGCCGUAAGGAAACCUUUCCUGAGCUUUAUCAUUUUGUUGCACGUGGAAUAGAUAAUUCGACUUUAAGGCGUACGG
This 267-nucleotide signal recognition particle RNA is filed under the name Oscillospiraceae bacterium. RNAcentral's name for it is "signal recognition particle sRNA large type". It matches the Rfam family "Bacterial large signal recognition particle RNA". Rfam says of the family: The signal recognition particle (SRP) is a universally conserved ribonucleoprotein involved in the co-translational targeting of proteins to membranes. Lineage: Bacteria; Bacillati; Bacillota; Clostridia; Eubacteriales; Oscillospiraceae. The record is from RNAcentral.